UACGUAGGAGGCAAGCGUUAUCCGGAAUGACUGGGCGUAAAGGGUGCGUAGGUGGUUCAGCAAGUUAGUAGCGUAACUCCGGGGCUCAACCUCGGCACUACUACUAAAACUGUUGGACUUGAGUGCAGGAGGGGCAACUGGAAUUCCUAGUGUAGCGGUGAAAUGCGUAGAUAUUAGGAGGAACACCAGUGGCGAAGGCGGCCUGCUGGGCUUUUACUGACGCUGAGGCUCGAAAGUGUGGGGAGCAAACAGG
Molecule: ribosomal RNA, 253 nt
Filed under: uncultured Eubacteriales bacterium
Lineage: Bacteria; Bacillati; Bacillota; Clostridia; Eubacteriales
Description: uncultured Clostridiales bacterium partial 16S ribosomal RNA
Rfam family: Bacterial small subunit ribosomal RNA
Source: RNAcentral